Molecule: long non-coding RNA, 382 nt
Filed under: Numida meleagris (helmeted guineafowl)
Lineage: Eukaryota; Metazoa; Chordata; Aves; Galliformes; Numididae
Description: lncRNA (ENSNMEG00000010689.1)
Source: RNAcentral
AUAGGGGAGAUAUAUUUUCAACAUCUUUUAUUUCAACCUAUAUAUCCCUUCUGAUCUAAGUGGCUUCUGUUACAAAGGCCUGUGAGAAGAAACUACUUAUGAAGAGUGUGCCUGUGCACUUUUUAAAAGAUAAUUUUUCAGUAACCUGGAAGAUCGGCUCCUAUCUUUGGUACCCAACAGGAAACUGGUCUUGAAAACACAGAUUGUCUCAAUGUCAAAAUGAGAGAUCCUUGAGGCUCCUCGGUGCUGAGUGGAGACACAGAAUCACCUGCAGCUUGCGCAAGUGUACCAGUCAGUAGAAUGGCAGAGGCAGUUUAGUGUCAAACUACCUAGAGCAAAACAAUGUUAUUUAGAACAGCAUAUUACUAUUAGAAUACACAGU